RNAcentral lists this ribosomal RNA (308 nucleotides) under uncultured bacterium. Its description in RNAcentral is "bacterial SSU rRNA". It matches the Rfam family "Bacterial small subunit ribosomal RNA", at positions 30 to 334 of the family's 1533-position model. The record is from RNAcentral.
AUUGAACGCUGGCGGUAUGCUUAACACAUGCAAGUCGAACGGUAGCAGCAGAGCUUGCUCUGGCUGACGAGUGGCGGACGGGUGCGUAACGCGUGGGAAUCUACCUUAUAGUGGGGGAUAGCCCGGAGAAAUCCGGAUUAACACCGCAUAAUCUCUACGGAGGAAAAGGGGCCUCUUCUUGAAAGCUCCUGCUAUUAGAUGAGCCCGCGUUAGAUUAGCUUGUUGGUGAGGUAAUGGCUCACCAAGGCAACGAUCUAUAGCUGGUUUGAGAGGAUGAUCAGCCACACUGGGACUGAGACACGGCCCAG